Molecule: RNA transcript, 1734 nt
Organism: Gossypium raimondii (Peruvian cotton)
Lineage: Eukaryota; Viridiplantae; Streptophyta; Magnoliopsida; Malvales; Malvaceae
Gene name: pentatricopeptide repeat-containing protein At5g47360
Exons: 3
Source: RefSeq, a predicted model, not a curated record
UUUGCCCUUAUUGUUUUGUUCUAGAAUCCCCAUGUCAAUUGCUUCACUCUCCCGGUUGAUUUCACUCUCAAUUUACCCGAAACAAAGAAAAGUUUUCACUCUUCAAUUCAGCUCGACUUCUUCUGCAGACAAAUUCUUCACCCUUUUAGAGAAAAAACAAAGCAAUGUAGAGAAAACCCUUGCUUUAGUCAAUGCCAAAUUGGACCCAAACUGUGUCUGUGAGGUGUUAAAAAGAUGUUCCUUUGAUAUAUCUCAAAUGGGCCUGAGGUUUUUUAUAUGGGCAGGUCUUCAAUCAAAUUGUAGGUAUAGUUCUUAUAUGUACAACAAAGCUUGUGAAUUUUUGAAAAUUAAGCAAAGUCCAUUUCUUAUUUUGGAUGUUAUUGAAGCUUACAAGGUGGAAAAGUGUUUGGUUAAUGUUAAAAUGUUCAAAGUUAUUUUUAAUUUGUGUAAAGAAGCUAGGAUUGCUGAUGAAGCGUUGUUGGUAUUGAGGAAAGUGCCUGAAUUUAACUUACGUCCGGAUAUUACCAUUUAUAAUGUUGUUAUCAGGCUGUUUUGUGAGAAAGGGGAUAUGGAUAUGGCUAAUAAAUUGAUGAAAGAGAUCGCCUUGAUUGAUCUUUAUCCUGAUAUGAUCACUUAUUUUGCGAUGAUCAAGGGGUUCUGUAAUGCUGGUAGAUUGGAGGAUGCUUGUGAGUUGUUUCAGGCUAUGAGGGAGCAAGGGUUUUCUCCAAAUGCCUUGGUGUAUUCUGUGCUUCUCGAGGGUAUUUGUAUGCAUGGGAGUACGGAGAAAGCAUUGGAGUUUUUGGAGGAGAUGGAGACAACAGGUGGGAGUUGUAGUCCAAAUGUCAUCACAUAUACAUCUGUAAUUAAAAGCUUUUGUGAGAAGGGUCAUACAAUGGAGGCAUUGAGAAUUUUGGAUAGAAUGGAAACUUGUGGGUGUGCUCCUAACCGUGUAACUGUUAUUACUUUGAUCAAAGGGUUUUGUGCUGAGGGACAUGUUGAGGAAGCGUAUAAGUUGAUUGAUAAAGUUGCUGGACGUGGUGUUUCUGAUGGUGAUUGCUAUAGUGCUCUUGUGGUGUCUUUGAUUAGGAUUAAUAGACUUGAUGAGGCAGAGAUUCUCUUUAGGAAGAUGUUAGCAAGUGGGGCCAAACCAGAUGGCAUUGCUUGUAGUCUAAUGAUUAGGGAGAUCUGUCGCAAGGGACGAGUGCUUGAUGGUUUUUGCUUAUAUGAUGAAAUUGAGCAGAUGCGAUUCUUGUCAUCCAUUGAUUCUGAUAUCUAUUCUAUUCUUUUGGUUGGCCUGUGUCAGCAAAGCCAUUUGGUUGAAGCUGCAAAGCUUGCUAGGUCAAUGCUUGAUAAAAGGAUUCGCUUGAAAGCUAUUUAUGUUAACAAAAUCAUCGAACAUCUGAAAAACUCUGGAGAUAAGGAGCUAGCUAUUCAGCUCAGUAGAAUUGCUAGGUUGCCAGUGUACUUACUUCACAAUGCCAUUUGGUGCUAAGCAAAGCCAUAGUUGCAGAUCAGGUUGCUAGUGUAGUUCAUAAUGCUGUUUGGUAGAGAUCUUCGCGGUGUUCACGAGCUUUUAUUGAUCACAGGGAACUCAAGCUUAUCAAAAUCUAUUUUAUACUGUUAGGUGCUGUUCCAUUUCCUACUGAUGUUCCAAGGCUAAAGGAGAAUGGUGUUCGUGGAGUAAUCACACUAAACGAGCCUUACGAAACUCUGGUUCCUACAUCUCUUUAUCAU